This 495-nucleotide ribosomal RNA is filed under the name uncultured bacterium. RNAcentral's name for it is "partial 16S ribosomal RNA". It matches the Rfam family "Bacterial small subunit ribosomal RNA", at positions 28 to 507 of the family's 1533-position model. The record is from RNAcentral.
GACGAACGCUGGCGGCGUGCCUAAUACAUGCCAGUAGAACGCUGAAGGAGGAGCUUGCUCUUCUGGAUGAGUUGCGAACGGGUGAGUAACGCGUAGGUAACCUGCCUGGUAGCGGGGGAUAACUAUUGGAAACGAUAGCUAAUACCGCAUAACAGUAGAUGUUGCAUGACAUUUACUUAAAAGGUGCAAUUGCAUCACUACCAGAUGGACCUGCGUUGUAUUAGCUAGUUGGUGGGGUAACGGCUCACCAAGGCGACGAUACAUAGCCGACCUGAGAGGGGGAACGGCCACACUGGGACUGAGACACGGCCCAGACUCCUACGGGAGGCGGCAGUAGGGAAUCUUCGGCAAUGGACGGAAGUCUGACCGGGCAACGCCGCGUGAGUGAAGAAGGUUUUCGGGUCGUAAAGCUCUGUUGUAAGAGAAGAACGAGUGUGAGAGUGGAAAGUUCACACUGUGACGGUAUCUUACCAGAAAGGGACGGCUAACUACGUG